CCUGGGGCUGGAGUCGGUCCCAACGGGUUGGGCUGUUCGCCCAUUAAAGCGGUACGCGAGCUGGGUUUAGAACGUCGUGAGACAGUUCGGUCCCUAUCCGCUGUGCGCGUAGGAGCCUUGAGAAGGGCUGUCCCUAGUACGAGAGGACCGGGACGGACGAACCUCUGGUGUGCCAGUUGUUCUGCCAAGGGCAUGGCUGGUUGGCUACGUUCGGGAGGGAUAACCGCUGAAAGCAUCUAAGCGGGAGGCCUGCUUCGAGAUGAGGACUCCCACCUCCUAGAGAGGGUAAGGCUCCCAGUAGACGACUGGGUUGAUAGGCCGGAUAUGGAAGCACGGUAACGUGUGGAGUUGACCGGUACUAAUA
Molecule: non-coding RNA, 364 nt
Filed under: Streptomyces afghaniensis 772
Lineage: Bacteria; Bacillati; Actinomycetota; Actinomycetes; Kitasatosporales; Streptomycetaceae
Description: Bacterial large subunit ribosomal RNA
Rfam family: Bacterial large subunit ribosomal RNA
Source: Rfam by way of RNAcentral